RNAcentral lists this signal recognition particle RNA (97 nucleotides) under Legionella geestiana. RNAcentral's name for it is "Bacterial small signal recognition particle RNA". It matches the Rfam family "Bacterial small signal recognition particle RNA". From Rfam's summary of the family: The signal recognition particle (SRP) is a universally conserved ribonucleoprotein involved in the co-translational targeting of proteins to membranes. Archaeal SRP consists of a 7S RNA and homologues of the eukaryotic SRP19 and SRP54 proteins. In most bacteria, the SRP consists of a 4.5S RNA and the Ffh protein (a homologue of the eukaryotic SRP54 protein). The record is from Rfam by way of RNAcentral. Lineage: Bacteria; Pseudomonadati; Pseudomonadota; Gammaproteobacteria; Legionellales; Legionellaceae.
UGUGGGUCCCCCCGCAACGUCAGUUUGUGAACCCCGUCAGGCCCGGAAGGGAGCAGCGGUAGCAAAGCCUGCGUGUGCCGGGGUGUGGCUUUCAGGG